GAAUCUUCCGCAAUGGACGAAAGUCUGACGGAGCAACGCCGCGUGAGUGAUGAAGGUCUUCGGAUUGUAAAACUCUGUCAUUAGGGAAGAACAAGUAUUGGUUGAAUAAGCCCGUACCUUGACGGUACCUAAGGAGGAAGCCCCGGCUAACUACGUGCCAGCAGCCGCGGUAAUACGUAGGGGGCAAGCGUUGUCCGGAAUUAUUGGGCGUAAAGCGCGCGCAGGCGGUCCUUUAAGUCUGAUGUGAAAGCCCACGGCUCAACCGUGGAGGGUCAUUGGAAACUGGAGGACUUGAGUGCAGGAGAGGAAAGUGGAAUUCCACGUGUAGCGGUGAAAUGCGUAGAGAUGUGGAGGAACACCAGUGGCGAAGGCGACUUUCUGGCCUGUAACUGACGCUGAGGCGCGAAAGCGUGGGGAGCAAACAG
RNAcentral lists this ribosomal RNA (425 nucleotides) under uncultured bacterium. RNAcentral describes it as "bacterial SSU rRNA". It matches the Rfam family "Bacterial small subunit ribosomal RNA", at positions 359 to 775 of the family's 1533-position model. The record is from RNAcentral.